This 263-nucleotide ribosomal RNA is filed under the name uncultured Staphylococcus sp. Its description in RNAcentral is "partial 16S ribosomal RNA". It matches the Rfam family "Bacterial small subunit ribosomal RNA", at positions 99 to 354 of the family's 1533-position model. The record is from RNAcentral. Lineage: Bacteria; Bacillati; Bacillota; Bacilli; Caryophanales; Staphylococcaceae.
CGGACGGGUGAGUAACACGUGGAUAACCUACCUAUAAGACUGGGAUAACUUCGGGAAACCGGAGCUAAUACCGGAUAAUAUAUUGAACCGCAUGGUUCAAUAGUGAAAGACGGUUUUGCUGUCACUUAUAGAUGGAUCCGCGCCGCAUUAGCUAGUUGGUAAGGUAACGGCUUACCAAGGCAGCGAUGCGUAGCCGACCUGAGAGGGUGAUCGGCCACACUGGAACUGAGACACGGCCCAGACUCCUACGGGAGGCAGCAGAC